CAAUCGGCCCUUUUGAGGGCCAUCAAACGUUCUUUCUGCAUCGUUG
Molecule: non-coding RNA, 46 nt
Organism: Aedes aegypti (yellow fever mosquito)
Lineage: Eukaryota; Metazoa; Arthropoda; Insecta; Diptera; Culicidae
Source: Rfam